This is a ribosomal RNA of Sedimentitalea nanhaiensis, 115 nucleotides long. The record is from Rfam. Lineage: Bacteria; Pseudomonadati; Pseudomonadota; Alphaproteobacteria; Rhodobacterales; Paracoccaceae.
UUUGGUGGUCAUAGCGCAAGUGAAACACCCGGUCCCAUCCCGAACCCGAUCGUUAAGCACUGUAGCGCCGAUGGUACUGCGUCUGAAGGCGUGGGAGAGUAGGUCACUGCCAAAC